AUUUUAUUACCGUCAGCUUAAUGUACAAUUUUAAAACGACACAGUCGCAACCCACUUCUCAAACAUUUUGAAUUACCACGGGAAUUAAAACAUAGAAGUGUGUGACCUAGAAUCCCUCAAACAAGGAAAACAACUCAUCCGAGCCGAGUAUGGAAGAAUCUUUACUUUUUAGGGGAGUAUCUUCAAACUAUCUUUUUUAAAUAGUAGAAAUCUGCUUUUAAAUCUCAGCCAACAACAAGCAGAUUUUAAAUCUAUUUUACAACCCUAAUAAAAACCAACCUCUUAGCUGGUGGACCCAGUCUGUAGCUGCAAAUACAAAGACGUGAUUUUUGAAAAGCUGCCCACAAGAGCAAGUGAUUAAUCAUUAAAAUCCACUAAAAUCAAUUGUGAACAGCCACUGCCUCAGGGGUGACCGUGGGGCCCCCUAAGAUGUGGCACUGUGAUCUAUAUUUAGCUAUCUAAACACGUUUACAGAACUGGCAACAACGUGUUCGCAGGACUUCCUGCGAACCACCCGGCAGAUAACGCGACACUAGUUAAAGGGUGUUAAUUUUCCGGUCCUCGGAGGGCAGGCCACGGUAGCCGAUCUCUGCGUGCCCAGAACUGCCUGCAGGAUCAGGCAGCAGCAGCGGCGGCGGCGGCCACCGAGGCUACCAGCCGCCCGCAGCAGGGGCGGGAGCGCGCGCCUCCCGCACCCGCGCCACCCGGCUCCACUCGGGCCGCAGCUGCAAAAGCAGCGACAGCGCGCGCUCCCGCGCGUCCUCCAGAUCACCUUCAAGGGGGCGGGAAGAAUGGCCCAGGGCAGGCCCACCUAGUGACAAUAAAAACUCGCCAAUAAAAACUCGAACUCUCCCUCGGGUACCGCCCACAAGCUGCCGCAGGCGCCCAAUCCCCGCCGCGUUAACAGUCUUCACCCGGGGUGUCCAGAACUUGAGGGCGGGUCCAUUAGGAACUAAAUUAAGAAACUGAGUCCUGGAGUGGUAAGAAGGUGGGGAGGUUAGGCGGGGACUGCGCCGGCGGAACGCCCGCUCCCCCGCCCGCCCCGGCUCCCCGGGGACGGCCGCAGCGGGCCGGGUGUCGCGAUCGUGAACCGACGGUCGUCCCACCAAACAAGAAGGCUGGAUUUGAGGCGGUCGCACUCCCCCGGGCUUCCUGAAAUAAAAAGCAGCGCCCCGUUCGCAGCCCAUCGGCAACAAGCAGCACCCGUCUGCCCAGCCGCCUCCCCCGGCGGCGCCCGGCCCCGCGGCGACUAGCCUACCGCACCUGCGGCUACCCCCAGUCCCGGCAACCACCCCGCCCUAGCCAGGCCGCACCAGCCGCGCCGCGGUUCCGGGCCGUAGUGCCAGGAGGCGCGCGCGCCCUCCCUCAGGGCUGUAGCUACCAAGCGGGGGAGGAAGACCCCCCAGGUGAACCCUGGAGGCCCCUCGCCUCAGAAAGGGGCCCUGUAGCCCAGCUGCAGCCUCUCCGCAGACCGCCAGUCUGGCUCUGAGAGGCCGGCCGCCGCUGGCUGCCCUCCCGCAGACACCCCGGUGGUCAGGACCGCCGUCGCCCCUCCGCCCCCGAGGACUCAGACUCUGACCGGUUCCUCGCCUUUCGGCCGGUCCCGGAGCUGUCACCCCCGGUACCUCUCGGCGAACACUGGAAGCAGCCAGCAGUGGCUAACCCCGCGGUCCCUCAGCGGCGGGCGGCGCAGCGCACUCUCCAGCGCCGGCGUCUCCUCCAGCCACCAGUCUCUGCCGCAGCUCACAACAAAGGAAACAUGUGACCGUCCGGGCCAAAACACUGAGCGUCAGCGAACCCUGGCCAAUCCGGGUGGGCGUCCUCCGCCCCGGGGAACCCUGGGAGAUGUAGUUCACGCUUCCCGGUGGCCUCCGGGGCCACCUGGGGCUCCCGCCGUGGGGUGGGUGUCGGGUGCCCAAGAGGACGAGACCCACCCAAAGGGCUGCUGACUCAAAAACACCUUGUUUUAAGCAGAGACAGUUAAAAAAAUGCCUCUUGUGUAAGGAGCCGAGUGAGAAGCCAGAGUCGUUUCUUUCCUUCCCUCAAAGGCCCCUGCCACGUCCCAAGGAAAAAGCCCGCGAUCAGCCCUUCGACUUUAAAGCUUGGGUCGAAGCUUAGAGAGCUUUUUAUUUGACCCUUUGAUAGACAAUCGGAAAUCAGGCCUGAGGGCCUGCAGGGUGGACGAGACUAAAACCCCAGUCCUUAGAAGGAGCAAGGAAAACCACCUCUUUUUUUUUGAUAAAGCUGUUACUGUCCCUGGUAUCAAAUCCUAGGUUACCUUUUUAUUUUAAACGCACAUGCACGUCGACCAAAGCUGUCACAAAUCCCUGUUUUCCAAGGUAGAUGGAGUUCCUAAAGGACAUUGUGUUGUCGUUUUGUGUCUGCAAGCUUUUUGUUUUGUUUCGUUUUGAGACAGAGUUUCGCUCUGCCACUCAGGGUGGAGUGCAGUGGCGCAAUCUCGGCCCACUGCAACCUCUGCCUCCCGGGUUCAGGCGAUUCUCCCGCCUUAGCCUCCCGAGUAGCUGAGACUACAGGUGCCCGCCACCACGCCCAGGUAAUGUUUUGUAUUUUUAGUAGAGGCUGUGUUAGCCAGGCUGGUCUCGAACUUCUGGCCUCAAGUGAUCCGCCUGCCUUGGCCUCCCACAGUGCUAGGAUUACAGGCAUGAGCCACUGCGCCCCGCCUGCAGGUAUUCUUUUAAAGGAUGAUUGCAACCAUUUAACUAGUUUUUGGUUUCUGAUACCAAAUUUAAAAAUCUCUAUCUUCUACAUGUCAUGAAUACCGUCAUGCCUCUAUUAAAUUAGGCGUUGUGUUCUGAUGACCAGAGGCGGAAAUAAUAUGGAAGGCCUAUAUACAGGCCUUUUAAACAUACUUUUUAGGCCUCUUUUCCAUCUCUUAUUCAAUUAUUUGAGCUAUUUCUUCUGGUAUUUAUAUAUUUCCAAAUAAUGUAUGACUAUUUCCUAUUAAGGAAGCUAUCCUUCUCAUAAUCUGGUUAAAUCAUUAAUGUUUACGCUAAUGAGACCAUGUAUUUAUUAUUCAUUGUUGAGACAAAUCGUAUACAAUUUCCCAUCUUGUAUGGCUUUUGGUUUUCCUUGGAGUUUUAAUAAUUAUCCUCUUUCUUUGCUUAUUUUAUUAUGGAUCUAUCACAAUGUCCUCUUAGUUUUUCUAAAACGAUAAAAUGCUUUCAAUACAACUCCAUAUAAUCAAACCCAUCAGAUAAUCCAUCGUGUGUGUAUGUGUGUGUGUGUGUGUGUGUGUGUGUGUGUGUGUGUGUGUAUCUGUACUUUUUUCUUAGAGUCAUUGGUCCGCAGUUCCAAUGACUGUUUGGGAAGCUUGCUUCUCUGUCUUGGGUCUUCC
This 3355-nucleotide long non-coding RNA is filed under the name Homo sapiens (human). RNAcentral describes it as "HSALNT0065415". Lineage: Eukaryota; Metazoa; Chordata; Mammalia; Primates; Hominidae. The record is from RNAcentral.